This 4897-nucleotide long non-coding RNA is filed under the name Homo sapiens (human). Its description in RNAcentral is "HSALNT0371697". The record is from RNAcentral. Lineage: Eukaryota; Metazoa; Chordata; Mammalia; Primates; Hominidae.
GAUCCAAACCAUAUCAGGCAUGGAUUCCCCACUUCCUCCCUGGUGCAUUGCCUGAUCUUGGACAGAAGCUGUGCUUCUCCAUGGUUAGAGAAACACCUACCCACGGGCACUUCCUCCAGGCCUCCAGCUCUGAUGAGCCUCUGAUAAUAUCGUACUCUCCCCUGUCCUUUCAGACACAAAGGAGACAGCUCCUCUAGUCUCUGGUGCCUCAACGUCCCCUCUUGGGUCUUACAUGGUGCCCACAUCUCUGUAAAUAGUCCCUCCACUAAAUUUUCCUCUAUUCCCUAGCUGAGUGUCUCUUCUCUUCUCUGCUGAGUUCUUGACUGCAACAACAAUAAAAGGAGCAAAAGUCUCAGCUGGGCUACUAAUCUUUGGGUGUAAGUCCUCCCUCUCCACUGCAAAGGAUAUAAAAAAUUUAAACAAUAAAAAAUGGUGUUGGCCUUUCACAAGCUAGCAUUUGCCUAUAUCAGAGUGGGCAGAGGUUUUUUUUUUUUUGUCUUUUAGAUAGAGUUUAAGUUCACUGAUAAUGAUACCAUAAGACACAAGCUAAAUUUGUUAAGAUUUGCUGCUUUUUCUAAGAAAAGACCGUCUCAAAUGGUUUAAUCAGAUGUGUCUGGUCUGAUAAGGAUAAUUACACAGUGAGACUGUGGGCAUCACACAGAGAGAGAAAUAGAUCUGUAAAAACCGCUAAUGAAACUUGGACCUAAGGGGAUUUGAACUCACAACCUGACAGCUAGGAAUUAAAUAGUCCAGGAAAUUGGCAGUGGGCUAAACAAUGGAAUUCAGACGGGGCCCCUAGCAGGUGCUAAAUUAUUUCCCUGAGCAGGCUCAUAUUCGGCCGAUGCGCCGAAGACAGGGAAGGAACACACACGUAAAUCAGCUCUUGAUUUCUGACACGGUUUCACCCAGUUGAAGUGGAGAGAGAUGACACUCAGCUCACGGGGUGGUAUCCAAGACCCAUUGAACCUUGGAUGUCAGAGCUGGAAGGCAUCUCAGAAACCUCAGUCUCCACUCUCUCCAUUAUACAGAAAAAGAAAAGGCAUUUUUCUCAAUUACCAAGAAAAAUCCUAAGGCUAGCUUUUGCUGAACUAGAUUUGGAACAUCACAUGCUUCCAGAAUAAGCACAUCAGGGCUCUGUGCUCAGCGGGUUGUAAUGGCACCAGGAACACUUCUUCCCUCCUCCCUGAAGGUCUCUGUGACUUUCCCUUCACCUUGGCUCAUGGUGAGACCCUGCUUGACUAAUGUUCCAGGAUGGCUCAGCACUGCACCUGGAAAUGAGGGCAGAGUGAGGCCUGGUAAUCGCUGGACUUUCAUGAGAGGAGCCUGUCUGCAGUGAAAAUAUCAAGAAAGCAUUUGUUUUGUGCAGUCUUCAGGUUUAGAAAAUCUUUCCUCUUCUGCGAUGAUUUCUUUGGACACACUUAACAAUGAGUCAUGCAAAUUCAGUCACUGAUCUCUCCAACGUUUAUGGAGCUCAGAGAACUUCCCAGGAGUUGUUCUAGGUACUGAUGCUAUGCAGGUAAUGAGACAGACAGAGCCUUUCUCUCCUGAAGCUUCCAUUCCAGUGAGCAAGACAGACCAUAAUAAGAUGCGUUCCAUUUCAGAUGGGAAUACUUAUUUUGAACAAUGACAAAAGUGUGCCAAGAGGAAUUCUAGAGAAGUGGCCAGGAGCAAGGCUCUGUGUUCAAGUUAGUGUUUCUGAAUUUUAAGGGAUGUAAAUAUUUGGAAUUCAGAGAAGAAAAGGAAAUUCCCGGGAAUUCUCAAGGAUUCAUGAAAUCAUGGGUUAUUCGUAAAACAUUUUUAAUGUUUUUCAUAUUUUUUACUCACUUUUAUCCAUGUAUAACAGAUCAGAAAUAUUCAGUUAAGUUGCAUUUACAAAUAUCUGUAGCCUAUAGUGAACAGGCAAACACUGUAAAACACCAGCACGCAUUCAAACACAGUAAAACAUCAGUUUCUAGAAAACAUCCGAUUAGGAUUUCAUAUUAAGAUUAGCAGUGAUGCAUAGAAGCAUAGAACUGGGUGUCAAAAUUGCCAAUUUAGGGACUUACUUGCUUCCAAGGUGUGUUAUUUUUGAUACAUCCUUCCUGGAGUGUGUAUAAAGUAUACUAUGACUGCAAGUGUAUUAGCUUUUCUUUUAUCAGCAACAAUGACUCACUUUUGGCAGCAGACAGAGCCACCAGCAGACAUCAUAGUACGGCCACAACUACAAUCAAGACUGACCCAUGAAAUCAUACGGGUUCUACUUCUACGUGCUCCUGUCCCAGUGACCCCAAAUGUUAACUUUGAUGCUGGAUGCCCUUCUCUGUGUUCCCUGUGCUUGUGUAUUCCCGUGAUGUCCGUGGAUUCUUCUGAUCUAGACACAUCUCUGUGGAUAGUUAAGGUUUCAUUCACACUUGAGAACUGCCACACAUCUCCUCAAUUUCUCCACUGAUUAUUUCCAGGAUUGGAGAUUUGAAAAAGCGGAUAAGGUCCUUGAGAAAUGUCAGGAAGGGAUUCCUGCAUAGGAACAUGAACUCAGGCUGCCGGGAUCUGAGUAGCAGCUGUGACAUCUAUUAGAACACACCCGCUUUGUGAUGAUGGGCUUGUUACCUACCUCUGUGUGACUGUUCUCUCAUCCAUGAGAUGGCAUCAUAAUUAGCACAUGUGGCAUGAGACUGCAGUAGAUUAAAUUCUCUAAUGUAUAUAAAUGAGUUCUAACUGCAUUGGGCAUCCAGUUAGCGCUCAAAAAAAUGUUAGCUCCUAUUAAAAAGUUUGCAUUCGGGAGAGCCAAAUACCACAUGACGAUGACCAGGGAUGGAUCUCUGAAGACAGAGUGCUAUAUAUGACAUGUUUCUUAUGUGUUUCUAUAUGACUGUGGAUUUAAAGGCAAUCCAGACUGCCAGAGACAGAGAAGCCAAAGUGCAUCUGGGAAGCAAAUGUGUGACUGCACAUCACUGGACAUCAAGUGUGGAUUAUGUCUUCACAUCAAACUGGAAGACUAGAGAAGCUGAACAUAUGAGUGAGCUCAGCUAAGAGACCAAGGAAAGAGGAGAAAAGAGGAACCAAGUGAUAGGUGAUUGAAAGAUAUGACUAGGCGGGAAGGCCAGUCUCGUGUCUCCCACUGCUUGUAUGAGAAGGGCAAAGAGAGAGGCUUGAAUGCUCUUUCCAUCCUUCCCCUGUAGCUUGUUUCCGGAGCUCAUCUUCAUCCUUCAACACUCAGCUUCAACGUCACCAUCUCCAGGAAGACUAUGCAGAUAUAUCCAGGUUUGCAUGAACAGAGUAAGUUCUCCAAGGUGUCUAUUGACCUACUCUGCACUGCUGUAAUUAUUUACAUCUCCCCUUUUGGUUGGAUGAAUAGUCCUUAAAAGGCAGGAACAGUCCCUCAGAGCUGAAUCUGUGAUCUGACACACGGUAGGUGCCUAAUAAAAAUAUACGUCAAAUGAAUAACAGAAUAAAAUUUAAAAUAUGCAUCUGUAAUUAAAGUCCAACAGAUAAAAUAAGUACUGUUUUUGUAAGUGCUUGCAAGAAACAGACACUAAUGCAACUCUGGCUUAGACCAAAGAAUAGUAAUUUGUUGGAUUAUAUGACUGGGAAAUUCAAAGGGUGGGUCUGGAUCCAAACAUGGUUGAAUCCAGGAUUGAAACUUUAUCAUCAGGACAUAUUCUUGGCUCUGCUUUUCUCUAUCUCAAUUUCCAAGCAGACUCUCAAAGAUGGUGAAAGGAAGCUGGGGGCUUAAGAGAAACCAGUUCCAGGUCCCCACUGGAAAGAUGGGUGGCUUCCCUAUAGCUCCAGCCAAUGUCCUGGGAUGGAAUUUCAUUGGCCAUGCUUGAGUCACAUGACCAUCCCUGACCAAUCACUGUGGCCAAGAGGUUGAGCAUUCUGAUUGGCUGGGGCUGGGUGACAUCACUUGCACCUGCUACUGUGGUGGAACCCAGAGGAGAUUAAAAGGGAGGAGGCUCCUCUGCACCCUCGGGUAUCACAGGAAUUUGGGAUGAUGACAGAGCAGACAUGCCAAGGUCAAGUCAUUUGAAUUUGGCUUGAAAACCAGAAAGAAUUUAGGCAUGUGGGGACACUCUGUGUGGGAAGGCAUGGCAGAAUGACCUGUUCUGUGCUUGAACAGCUGUAAUGGACUAAAUGUUUGGAAAUACAGGUUAGAUCCAGGUCCCAAAGGGCCCUGAUUGCUAGGCAGCAGGAUUCCAAUUUGCUCAGAAGGCAAUGGAAGGCCACUGAAGCUUUUCACUCGGAAGGAGGCAAGCCCAGAACCGCGCUUUAGAGGGAUUAAUCAAGCAGCUGUGUGUAAAAUACCCUGGGUAAAUGUCCGAAAAGCAUUUCAAUAGCCUAGGUAACAGAUAACGAAGCUCUCAAUGUGCUGAGAAGAGCACACACGUGACACUUGGAUUCAGGAACAGCUGAGGACAGAAUUGACACUCCUGAAAUAUAUUUUUCUACCCAGGCCAGCUCCUCCACUUCAGCCACUCUGCAUCUGAGGCUGGCAUUUAGUAGAUAAAGCAAAGACAUUUUCAAGGGCUAUCAUUACUGUGCAUUACACAAAGCUUUGUGUGUGUGUGUGUGUGUUUUCUCCCCUGGCUUCUGACUCGGAGGAGUGGCUUUUUUCUUUCUGUUGCAGAAAGAAGAGGGGUGGUGAGCAAAGAAAUGAGCUCCAUCUCUAUCUGUAGACUCUGACCCUGGCUGAUUCCUUUGUGCACUGUGACAAAUGGAGACACAGAAGAUGGAAAACCACAUUCCUAAUUUCUUUCCCUGACAGACACCUAUUAGCAUUCUGUAUUGCAAAGAAGACCUGAAAGACGUGGAUGCAAAUAUCAUCAAGGCAGCAUCUCUGCAUCCACAGGAAGACAAUUAAACACACACAAGUUGCCUACACCUCCAGCCUCAGACAAGCUCCAAGGGCUGCCUUGAAGUC